GGUUAACCGUAUAGGGGAGCCGGAGGGAAACCGAGUCUUAACCGGGCGUUAAGUUGCAGGGUAUAGACCCGAAACCCGGUGAUCUAGCCAUGGGCAGGUUGAAGGUUGGGUAACACUAACUGGAGGACCGAACCGACUAAUGUUGAAAAAUUAGCGGAUGACCUGUGGCUGGGGGUGAAAGGCCAAUCAAACCGGGAGAUAGCUGGUUCUCCCCGAAAGCUAUUUAGGUAGCGCCUCGUGAAUUCAUCUCCGGGGGUAGAGCACUGUUUCGGCUAGGGGGCCAUCCCGGCUUACCAACCCGAUGCAAACUGCGAAUACCGGAGAAUGUUAUCACGGGAGACACACGGCGGGUGCUAACGUCCGUCGUGAAGAGGGAAACAACCCAGACCGCCAGCUAAGGUCCCAAAGUCAUGGUUAAGUGGGAAACGAUGUGGGAAGGCCCAGACAGCCAGGAUGUUGGCUUAGAAGCAGCCAUCAUUUAAAGAAAGCGUAAUAGCUCACUGGUCGAGUCGGCCUGCGCGGAAGAUGUAACGGGGCUAAACCAUGCACCGAAGCUGCGGCAGCGAACGUAUCACCCAAGACAACUUUACGGAGUUGACGAUUGACGGAGCGAAGCGACGUCAAAGCGUUCAUUAAAGUCGAGUUGGCUUAGGGAUACGUUCGUUGGGUAGGGGAGCGUUCUGUAAGCCUGUGAAGGUGUGUCGUGAGGCAUGCUGGAGGUAUCAGAAGUGCGAAUGCUGACAUAAGUAACGAUAAAGCGGGUGAAAAGCCCGCUCGCCGGAAGACCAAGGGUUCCUGUCCAACGUUAAUCGGGGCAGGGUGAGUCGACCCCUAAGGCGAGGCCGAAAGGCGUAGUCGAUGGGAAACGGGUUAAUAUUCCCGUACUUGGUGUUACUGCGAAGGGGGGACGGAGAAGGCUAUGUUGGCCGGGCGACGGUUGUCCCGGUUUAAGCGUGUAGGUGUGUGUUCCAGGUAAAUCCGGUUCACUUUAACACUGAGGCGUGACGACGAGGCACUACGGUGCUGAAGCAACAAAUGCCCUGCUUCCAGGAAAAGCCUCUAAGCAUCAGGUA
This 1073-nucleotide ribosomal RNA is filed under the name Salmonella enterica. RNAcentral describes it as "partial 23S ribosomal RNA". It matches the Rfam family "Bacterial large subunit ribosomal RNA", at positions 644 to 1633 of the family's 2925-position model. The record is from RNAcentral. Lineage: Bacteria; Pseudomonadati; Pseudomonadota; Gammaproteobacteria; Enterobacterales; Enterobacteriaceae.